Molecule: ribosomal RNA, 445 nt
Filed under: Acanthamoeba sp. 1 VJM-2013
Lineage: Eukaryota; Discosea; Longamoebia; Acanthamoebidae
Description: SSU rRNA
Rfam family: Eukaryotic small subunit ribosomal RNA (bases 1-370)
Source: RNAcentral
CAUCUAGAGUGUUCCCGCAGGCAGAUCCAUUUUCUGCCACCGAAUACAUUAGCAUGGGAUAAUGGAAUAGGACCCUGUCCUCCUAUUUUCAGUUGGUUUUGGCAGCGCGAGGACUAGGGUAAUGAUUAAUAGGGAUAGUUGGGGGCAUUAAUAUUUAAUUGUCAGAGGUGAAAUUCUUGGAUUUAUGAAAGAUUAACUUCUGCGAAAGCAUCUGCCAAGGAUGUUUUCAUUAAUCAAGAACGAAAGUUAGGGGAUCGAAGACGAUCAGAUACCGUCGUAGUCUUAACCAUAAACGAUGCCGACCAGCGAUUAGGAGACGUUGAAUACAAAACACCACCAUCGGCGCGGUCGUCCUUGGCGUCUCGGUCCUUCACGGGGCCGGGGCGCGGGGGCGGCUUAGCCCGGUGGCACCGGUGAAUGACUCCCCUACCGACCUUGGUGAGAA